Molecule: long non-coding RNA, 303 nt
Filed under: Homo sapiens (human)
Lineage: Eukaryota; Metazoa; Chordata; Mammalia; Primates; Hominidae
Description: HSALNT0076532
Source: RNAcentral
AUCAGUAAGGGAUUAAUUCUGACUGCAGCAUGAAAGGACUUUUCAACGGUUGAAGCUUUCAAGCUAAAAUGUAAGGAGAAAGAUUGUGAUAAUCAGAAAAACAAAACCACCAAACACAUAUGAAAACUAAGAGGACUUCGUCAUCUAAGAGCCAGGCCGGAGACUGGCAGCUAGCUAUAGCAGAAAGAACUCAUGAACUGACUGGGUCAUCAUAACUCUCAUAAAUCAAGACUUUUCUUCUGGAAAAGUUGUCCUUCAGUGCAUGAGAGAAUACCAAGGAAAAAAUACCUGAUGAACUUCAAG